AUCUCUUCUUUCUGUAAAUUUUAAGCGGAUUUUUAAGAAUACGUAUUCAUGUUGUCGGAUUGAUCGUGCUUUUCACAUGCGUGAAAAGACUUAGACUGGCUUUCAAGUUUGGCUUCAAAUAUUCGGUUGGAGGUAUAGCAUUCCAUAUUAUUCAUUUCACUGUUUCAGUGCUCCAAUAAUUUGUUCAUCGGUUUCUAAUUCAUGAUACUUCAUCUUGGAAGAGUAUUUGGGAACAUUGGUAAUUUGACCUUUGACCAGUAUAUAAUCUCUCAGUAUUCUUAUACCCAAAUAUGGCUUCAUGAAAUGGAAUAUUAAAUCUAUCACCAUUACUUGCAUGGUUUUACAACACUUUUACAACACAUGUUAAUUUUCGAAAUCUAAUAAAUAUUAUCAUUAUCUUUUUAUUGUUUUCAACUUAAGGUAAUCCUCA
This is a non-coding RNA of Paramuricea clavata, 430 nucleotides long. Lineage: Eukaryota; Metazoa; Cnidaria; Anthozoa; Malacalcyonacea; Plexauridae. The record is from the annotation of a GenBank genome assembly.